UCUCACCUCUUCAAUUCCUGCCUGAGAUGAGAUGUAGGUUCUGUCUUUGCUGGCUGCCAGGCUGGGUUGUUAGCAGCUUGGAGAUGGUGCCAACAGGAAUCUCUGGAAACAGCUCUCUUCCCGGAGUUCUCGUGCUUGGAGCUCUGAAGUUUCGUGCUCCUUUGUCUUGUCAGCAUGCUAAGAUUUACUGAUCUGUGUAAAAAUACUAUUUAGAGAACUACUUCCUUGGAGGUCCCUUUUCUUACAUAGGAUGGACACCAUGUCAUGACGAUACACUUGCUGCUGUUUCGUUUUUUCCUCUUGGUUAACCUAUCUUUUAUCAACAGGGACCUAUGCCUACCAUGAACUCUCAAGGGUUGAAAAAUGAAGCUGUACUUCUCCUUUUCACACACAAGAGUGGAUAAGAAGAAUCAAGGACAAAGGAGGAUUCUGGAAUGUGGGAGCCAACCCAGAAGAAGUAUGUAGGCUGUUUCAGAAGAUUCUGCCUGGAGGGAAGACAGUUUUCCAGGUCCUGUGAGCAUCCCUCCUCCCUCCAAGGAUGUUGCAGCAUGGAGGAAAUAGCUGCACAGCAAGGGAUCAUCUGCUGACUCUAGGACAACCCAUCUUCCAGUUGGGGGGAAUGUCUUUGUUGUGGGAUAUUUGUACACUGGGUGAAGAUGCAUGGCUGUGAUUGGUGUAAUAAAAAGCUGAAUGGCCAAUAGCUGGGCAGGAGGUAGAGGCGGGACUUCUGGGCAGAGAAAGGAAAGCUGAGAGGAGGAGUCUAGGUGCAGGAUUUCGCCAGCAGAUCGUUUGGGGAGCAAGUUGGAUGUGCCAUACUAAGAAGAGGUAACCCAGCUAUGUGACAAAGUGUAGAUUAAAAACUGUGGGUGGAUUACAUUAUAAGAGUUAGUUGGGAAAAGGCCUAAGCUAAGGCCAAGCUUUCAUAAUUAAUAAUAAGUCUCCAGGUCAUUAUUUGCUGGCUGGCGGUACAAAGAUAGUCCAACCGAAAAGCUUGCUACAUGUCUUCACUGAGGGGACAUCGUGGAUGGAAACAGCACUGUGAUGUUCUGGGGGAGCUGACAAGCAAUGGAAACAAGAGCAUGGGGAUGGACAGUGCUGGGCCCAGUUUCUUCCCUUUCAGCUCCCGUGUGUUUCCUUCCAAUACAGAGCUGGGCCCUUGAAACACUUCUCCUUUGCCAGCUCACACGUUAUUUCAUCAGCAAGGGCAGAAAGAGGGCUCUCACAAGAGGAAGUAGUCUCCUUCCUGGUCAUGGUCCUUGAAGGCAUUGGCUUUGAGUCUAGUACUUAGAGCAGAAGUUCUUCUCAGUUAAACUCAGCUGGUGGAAGGGCAAAUUCCUCAUGAGUUUCAGUAAUGCCCUGCAGGUGGCUUCUGAGUGUCACUUGGGCACUCUAGAGAGCCUGAAAGACACCCAGUGCUGUUCACCUCUGGCGAAUUGUGUGGGCAUCCCAGAAAGUAGCUUCUGAGAGAAUGUUGGCAGCAUCCUAGUUGUUAUCUUCACAGAAGGGUCUAUGUCAUCCUGCUGAAGGGCUUUUGUAGCCAGAAGUUUUCCUGUGCCCCCCCCCCCAGUCCACAGCUGCUCAGACCCAAGUAAACACACAGAGGCUUAUAUUAAUUAAAACUGCUCAGCCAUUAGCUCAGACUUACUACUGACUAGCUCUUACAUUUAAACUCAGCCCAUUUCUGUUAAUCUAUAUGUUGCCGCAUUUUCCGUGGCUUUACCUGUGUGCCAUUACAUGCGCUCCCUGAAUGGCAGGCAGGCAUCUCCUGACUCAGCCUUCUUCUUCCCAGAAUUCUCCUUGUGCCUUCUUCUUCCCAGAAUUCUCCUUAUCUGCUUAUCCCACCUAUACUUCCUGCCUGUCUACUGGCCAAUCAGUGUUUUAUUAAACCAGUGUACAAAAUCAUUAUCCCACAGCAGGCUUCCUAUCAUAUUACCUGGGGAGCCUUGCAGAUGCCUGCCCUGCACACUUGGCGGUGCCUCAGCAGGCAACUGAAUCUUGCUAGCACCCCAGUGGGUGGCUUUACAUUUGCAGCCUCAUCAUGUGGCACCUUAGCACACUUCUUAACCAUCCAAUGAGCCUCGGCUACACCCUCUUACUGAGUUCUGAGCCCCAGACUAGACCAGGGUCUUACUCCGUAGCCUAAACAGGCCUCAAAUUCACAGCCUUCUUACUGCCUGUGUUCUGGGAUUUGAGCAUGCCCCCUAUGCCUGGCUGAUGUGUACAAUUCAUUGAUUCUGCAUGUAUAGCCAAAGUGCUCAGUAAAUAGCCCUUAGACUGGAGAGCCGUUGCAGCCCAUAUUUAAGUUUCCCAACAGCUUCAGGUCAAGAGAUAUAAAUAGGAAAACUCCCCCUCCCCGUCCCCUCCACAGAUGUGUUGUUGUAAAACUCCCACCUUUUCCUCAUGGGAGAUUUCCCUGCAGCAGCCCAAGCAGACUCCAUAAGCUCUCUUACCCUGCCAGGCUUACCCAGCUCUCCUUGCUCAUUUGGAUGAGAUGUUUAGCCGUGCCUUAGACGGAGAUGUAACCAAAGUCUAGCAACCGGCCUUCUUUCUGUGUGUUUCCCUCCUCCUGGCUGGGGAUUGUGGGUGGGAGGGACACUCAAGCAUUCCCACCAGGAGGUAGUUCACACCUAAGAGGCUGCUCUUCCGCCCUCUUUGGGCUUGAUGCAUGUUAGAGAAGGAUUGUGCAGAUUAGGAAAUCACAGUCUGUAGCCUGUGAGAGAGGGACAGCUUUAUUACCACAUAGCCCAUGCUCAUACCUCAUCAUCUACAGGUCUAACAGCAGAAGUGAAUAAUUGCAAUCGAAACCAUGUGACUCACAAAGUCCGAAACAUUUGCUCUCUAGCUCAUCACAGAACCAGUUUGCUCAGCCCCAGGUGAGACAAAGAACCAUGACUGAUUUGUUGGUUGAUUGCUGGAACCAAGAGCAGGAACUCAACUUCAAGUCAAUAGCUUCUUAUACAUUUUAAUUAUGAGUAUAUUUUAUACAUGCAUUUAUAUGUAUGCACAUGUGUACAUAUGCAUGUAUUAUUCAUGCUUGGGUUCUUAUUUUAGUUAUUGGGUCACAAUAUAUUACUGUCAUAAUUUUGAUGCAGUAGGAGAGUUCAAGGUAACUCCUGAACCUGUGACACACGUUGUCACCCUUUUAGGACUCUUGUACCACACGUCACAACAGCAUGCUCUGGGCUCAUCUCAGGGCUUCCCUGCCUAAGCUCUGGAACCAGUUAUGUUCCAGGGAGACUGUGACAGACUAGAAUUUUCCCAGGGCUAGAAAAAUAAAUGAUGAAAGCAAACCCUAACAUCCAGGUAGUCUUUGUGGUCACCUGCAGAUGGCAAAAUUGCGGUGCAAAGUAUCCCAUCAGGCAGGCCUUCCUGACAACCUCGUCUAAUGAAGCCCUCAUCCCCCACCCCACCCCACCUGUGCUCCUGUGCCACCACAUUGUUCUGGUGGCUUUGGAGUGC
Long non-coding RNA from Peromyscus californicus insignis, 3459 nucleotides. RefSeq lists it as uncharacterized. NCBI's taxonomy places the organism in Eukaryota, Metazoa, Chordata, Mammalia, Rodentia, Cricetidae. The transcript has 3 exons. The record is from RefSeq and is a predicted model, not a curated record.